Long non-coding RNA from Lagenorhynchus albirostris (white-beaked dolphin), 776 nucleotides. RefSeq lists it as uncharacterized. The transcript has 3 exons. The record is from RefSeq and is a predicted model, not a curated record. Lineage: Eukaryota; Metazoa; Chordata; Mammalia; Artiodactyla; Delphinidae.
CAGGCGGGCCAAGGAAGGCGCGAGGCGCCGGGUGCCGAGGGUCCCGGAGGUCCCGGGGGUCCCCGCGACCGGGCCGGGACGGGCCGAGCUCGCGCCUCAAACCCCAUGCCGGGUCCGCCGACCGCUCACCUAUGAUGGUCCGCGCCGCCGAGACGAUAACCACGGGGUCUGAGUCCGCACUCAUCCUGCCGCACUACUGCCUCUCGAGCUACGGUUGGCCCAGUGCAGCCGGCUAGUGAGCAAGAUCCAACCCCGCCUCUGACAUGCCGCUCUGGGGGCGGAGCCUCAGAGCGCCCCGCCCACCGCCUCCGCGGGCGCCGUGGGAGGAGUCCGUACCCUUCCGUGGGGCUGGCCACACUUGCCAAGUUCUUGUACCGGAAGAUCAGCUGUAGCGACGAGUGUGUGAGAGCCAGAGAGUCUCAGUGUCUCACAGAUCAAAAGGAUUUCCUCUGGUUGACUGCGGACAAUCUGGAAGGCGAGGAGCAAGUAAUCACAGCACAGCAACCGUCCAGACGGCUUGUGAGAUGUCAUCCUUAGAAGCUCACGUACAUUUUUCCCUCCUCCUCAAGAUGAAGGGAAGCAGAAUGGCGCAGUGUCCAAGUCAGCUCUUGGCACCUGGCCUGGUUCAGCUGCCAGCUUUGAGGUUGGUAUUGUCCAGGGAGCUUUAAUGACAGCACCCUGGAGGGCAGCUCCAACGUUUACCAACCGUUUGCUUUUUAUGUAACCCUUUUAAGUGCAUUUCCUAUUCUGUAUGUGGGGAUAACAAGUGCCUGUUU